This 74-nucleotide transfer RNA is filed under the name Podarcis lilfordi (Lilford's wall lizard). RNAcentral's name for it is "tRNA.Ile". Lineage: Eukaryota; Metazoa; Chordata; Lepidosauria; Squamata; Lacertidae. The record is from RNAcentral.
GCCUGGAUAGCUCAGUUGGUUAGAGUGUGGGGCUGAUAACACCAAGGUUGCUGGUUUGAUCCCCAUAUGGGACA